RNAcentral lists this ribosomal RNA (489 nucleotides) under Salmonella enterica subsp. enterica serovar Michigan. Its description in RNAcentral is "bacterial SSU rRNA". It matches the Rfam family "Bacterial small subunit ribosomal RNA", at positions 27 to 505 of the family's 1533-position model. Lineage: Bacteria; Pseudomonadati; Pseudomonadota; Gammaproteobacteria; Enterobacterales; Enterobacteriaceae. The record is from RNAcentral.
GAUUGAACGCUGGCGGCAGGCCUAACACAUGCAAGUCGAACGGUAACAGGAAGCAGCUUGCUGCUUCGCUGACGAGUGGCGGACGGGUGAGUAAUGUCUGGGAAACUGCCUGAUGGAGGGGGAUAACUACUGGAAACGGUGGCUAAUACCGCAUAACGUCGCAAGACCAAAGAGGGGGACCUUCGGGCCUCUUGCCAUCAGAUGUGCCCAGAUGGGAUUAGCUAGUUGGUGAGGUAACGGCUCACCAAGGCGACGAUCCCUAGCUGGUCUGAGAGGAUGACCAGCCACACUGGAACUGAGACACGGUCCAGACUCCUACGGGAGGCAGCAGUGGGGAAUAUUGCACAAUGGGCGCAAGCCUGAUGCAGCCAUGCCGCGUGUAUGAAGAAGGCCUUCGGGUUGUAAAGUACUUUCAGCGGGGAGGAAGGUGUUGUGGUUAAUAACCACAGCAAUUGACGUUACCCGCAGAAGAAGCACCGGCUAACUCCG